RNAcentral lists this unclassified non-coding RNA (349 nucleotides) under soil metagenome. RNAcentral describes it as "partial contains 5.8S ribosomal RNA, internal transcribed spacer 2, and large subunit ribosomal RNA". The stretch from base 1 to 120 matches the Rfam family "5.8S ribosomal RNA", at positions 35 to 154 of the family's 154-position model. The record is from RNAcentral.
GAUGAAGAACGUAGUGAAAUGCGAUAAGUAGUGUGAAUUGCAGAUUUCAGUGAAUCAUCGAAUCUUUGAACGCACAUUGCGCCCUUUGGUAUUCCUUAGGGCAUGCCUGUUCGAGCGUCAUUUAAACCUUCAAGCUCAGCUUGGUGAUGGGUGACUGUCCGCUGCCUCCCCCCGGGGUGCGCCGCGGACUCGCCUCAAAACGAUUGGCGGCCGGUACAUUGGCUCUCGAGCGCAGCAGAAACGCGUAACUCGAGGUCCUCGUGCUGGCUCCCAGAAGCUAUCUUCACAAUUUUGACCUCGGAUCAGGUAGGGAUACCCGCUGAACUUAAGCAUAUCAAUAAGCGGAGGA